This 253-nucleotide ribosomal RNA is filed under the name uncultured bacterium. RNAcentral describes it as "partial 16S ribosomal RNA". It matches the Rfam family "Archaeal small subunit ribosomal RNA", at positions 474 to 727 of the family's 1478-position model. The record is from RNAcentral.
UACCAGCACCCCGAGCGGUCGGGACGAUUAUUGGGCCUAAAGCAUCCGUAGCCGGUUCUGCAAGUCCCCCGUUAAAUCCAGCUGCUCAACAGAUGGGCCGCGGAGGAUACUACAGAGCUAGGAGGCAGGAGAGGCAAGCGGUACUCAGUGGGUAGGGGUAAAAUCCGUUGAUCCAUUGAAGACCACCAGUGGCGAAGGCGGCUUGCCAGAAUGCGCUCGACGGUGAGGGAUGAAAGCUGGGGGAGCAAACCGG